GGGCCUUCUUCUUCUUCUUUUUCUGCUGCAUUCAUCACAUUUUCUUCUUUUUCAUGUUGUUUGGUACCUGGACAUGUUACACAUAAAAAUAAUAAAUAUCUAUAUUAAUAAGACAAAUCAUAUGUGAAUUGAAUAAUGGGAUGGAUUAUCUAAACAUUAAUUGAUCCUCGUUUGCUGUUUGUACUGAUGCAAUUGUAGUAUAUAAGCGUGUGACGCUAGCUCCAUCAUCAACUUGUUUUAUAAUUAAGUAAUUAUUUGAGUUUGAAUUUGAUUAAACACGAUCAUCAUCCGGUUCAUUACAAAACUAAAUUGGCAAAUAUAUCCCGUUUGAAUAAAUUAAACAUAUGAUCAUAUCCACUAACUAAUUAAAUUGGCAAAUUAAAAUAGAUCAUGUCACAUGCUUGCCAUUUAUAAUUAAUUAAUACACAUCCUUCAUGCAUAAUAUUACUUAAUUUAUCUCAAAAUUUUCAAAACAUUAGUUGUUCUAACUACCUGAUGAUGCUUGUCUAUAUUUAUAAAAAUGGUGCAAAAACCUCAAAAUGAAAACUUCCAUGCAUAUAUAGAAUAUGUUAGUUAAUCAUCUCAAGAAAUAUAAUGAUCACUGCAGAUAGUUUAUAUAUAUCACAUUAUUUUUCUCUAAAAUUUUCAAAAUAGCUAGAUACCUGAUGAGGCUUGUAGGGUUUCUUCCUCAGCAGAGCUCUUCAUCUGAUCGGAUUGAUACAGCUCAAAUUAGCAGGUAAAACUCCAAGUGAAAAAUAUGUAACAGAGAGAGAAAACUGAUGUAUUAAGAAAAAUAAGUACUAACUGUUUGGUGAUUGAGAUUGAUGGGAGCAAACUUUGCAUGAUCACCUGCAUAUAUAAUUCCCAAGAAUAUUGAUAUAAUGAGAUUGAUGUAAGCAAAAAAGGUGUGUGAAAUAUUACCUUGUUGAAUAGGUUUGUUGAGAUUGAGGUGGUCGGAAGCACAGGGUGAUAACAGAAAUGAGAUGGCUAGUAGUAAUGAAACCAUUAGGGUUAGCAAUUCCAUAAGUAAGACUAGCUCGGGAUUCAACAAGGUUUUUAGUUGAGUUGUUUUCCAGUUUUUGCUUUCUGAAACUUGGGAUUUAUAGCAGAGAGAGAGAGGUAAAGACACGGGUAUCAAGAACAUACAC
Molecule: long non-coding RNA, 1148 nt
Filed under: Salvia miltiorrhiza (redroot sage)
Lineage: Eukaryota; Viridiplantae; Streptophyta; Magnoliopsida; Lamiales; Lamiaceae
Description: long non-coding RNA (SMIL_LNC006728)
Source: RNAcentral